RNAcentral lists this ribosomal RNA (321 nucleotides) under uncultured bacterium. RNAcentral's name for it is "bacterial SSU rRNA". It matches the Rfam family "Bacterial small subunit ribosomal RNA", at positions 30 to 352 of the family's 1533-position model. The record is from RNAcentral.
AUUGAACGCUGGCGGCGUGCUUAACACAUGCAAGUCGAACGGUAACAGGCCCUUCGGGGUGCUGACGAGUGGCGGACGGGUGAGUAAUGCUUAGGAAUCUGCCUAGUAGUGGGGGAUAACCCGGGGAAACUCGGGCUAAUACCGCAUACGCCCUACAGGGGAAAGCGGGGGACUUUCGGGCCUCGCGCUAUUAGAUGAGCCUAAGUCCGAUUAGCUAGUUGGUAGGGUAAUGGCCUACCAAGGCGACGACGGUAGCUGGUCUGAGAGGACGACCAGCCACACUGGGACUGAGACACGGCCCAGACUCCUACGGGAGGCAGC